This 400-nucleotide ribosomal RNA is filed under the name Pseudomonas sp. FB5-42. RNAcentral describes it as "bacterial SSU rRNA". It matches the Rfam family "Bacterial small subunit ribosomal RNA", at positions 113 to 516 of the family's 1533-position model. The record is from RNAcentral. Lineage: Bacteria; Pseudomonadati; Pseudomonadota; Gammaproteobacteria; Pseudomonadales; Pseudomonadaceae.
AUGCCUNNGAAUCUGCCUGGUAGUGGGGGAUAACGUCCGGAAACGGACGCUAAUACCGCAUACGUCCUACGGGAGAAAGCAGGGGACCUUCGGGCCUUGCGCUAUCAGAUGAGCCUAGGUCGGGAUUAGCUAGUUGGUGGGGUAAUGGCUCACCAAGGCGACGAUCCGUAACUGGUCUGAGAGGAUGAUCAGUCACACUGGAACUGAGACACGGUCCAGACUCCUACGGGAGGCAGCAGUGGGGAAUAUUGGACAAUGGGCGAAAGCCUGAUCCAGCCAUGCCGCGNGUGUGAAGAAGGUCUUCGGAUUGUAAGCACUAUAAGUUGGGAGGAAGGCAGUAAAUUAAUCUUUGCUGUUUGACGUNCCGACAGAAUAAGCCCGGCUACUNUGUGCCACACCA